Molecule: ribosomal RNA, 514 nt
Filed under: uncultured bacterium
Lineage: Bacteria
Description: partial 16S ribosomal RNA
Rfam family: Bacterial small subunit ribosomal RNA
Source: RNAcentral
GAUGAACGCUGGCGGCGUGCCUAAUACAUGCAAGUCGAGCGAACAGAUGAGAAGCUUGCUUCUCUGAUGUUAGCGGCGGACGGGUGAGUAACACGUGGGUAACCUACCUAUAAGACUGGGAUAACUCCGGGAAACCGGGGCUAAUACCCGAUAAUAUUUUGAACCGCAUGGUUCAAUAGUGAAAGACGGUUUCGGCUGUCACUUAUAGAUGGACCCGCGCCGUAUUAGCUAGUUGGUAAGGUAACGGCUUACCAAGGCGACGAUACGUAGCCGACCUGAGAGGGUGAUCGGACACACUGGAACUGAGACACGGUCCAGACUCCUACGGGAGGCAGCAGUAGGGAAUCUUCCGCAAUGGGCGAAAGCCUGACGGAGCAACGCCGCGUGAGUGAUGAAGGUCUUCGGAUCGUAAAACCCUGUUGUUAGGGAAGAACAAAUUUGUUAGUAACUGAACAAGUCUUGACGGUACCUAACCAGAAAGCCACGGCUAACUACGUGCCAGCAGCCGCCGUAA